GUUUUAAUAAUUAAAAAAUAAUAUUAAUUUUGUAAAUUAAAGUUAGGAAAUUUCCUUUAAAACU
This 64-nucleotide transfer RNA is filed under the name Batracomorphus lateprocessus. Its description in RNAcentral is "tRNA-Thr". RNAcentral also lists the same sequence under 2 other names. The record is from RNAcentral. Lineage: Eukaryota; Metazoa; Arthropoda; Insecta; Hemiptera; Cicadellidae.